GCGCGAAACCUUUACAAUGCACGAAAGUGUGAUAGGGGGAUACUCAGUGCUUACGACUACGUCGUAGGCUUUUGUCGAGUGUAAAUAACUCGGCGAAUAAGUGGUGGGCAAGACCGGUGCCAGCCGCCGCGGUAACACCGGCGCCACGAGUGGUCAUCACGAUUAUUGGGCCUAAAGCGUUCGUAGCCGGUUUGGUAAAUCCCUUGUGAAAUUGUUCGGCUUAACCGAACAGCGUGCAGGGGACACUGCCAGACUCGAGACCGGGAGGGGUCAGAAGUAUUCCAUGGGGACCGGUAAAAUGGGAUAAUCCAUGGAGGACUACCGAUGGCGAAGGCAUCUGACCAGAACGGAUCUGACGGUGAGGAACGAAAGCCAGGGGAGCGAACCGG
Molecule: ribosomal RNA, 389 nt
Filed under: uncultured bacterium
Lineage: Bacteria
Description: bacterial SSU rRNA
Rfam family: Archaeal small subunit ribosomal RNA
Source: RNAcentral